This 467-nucleotide ribosomal RNA is filed under the name uncultured bacterium. RNAcentral describes it as "bacterial SSU rRNA". It matches the Rfam family "Bacterial small subunit ribosomal RNA", at positions 10 to 523 of the family's 1533-position model. The record is from RNAcentral.
AGUUUGAUCCUGGCUCAGAACGAACGCUGGCGGCAUGCCUAACACAUGCAAGUCGAACGAAGGCUUCGGCCUUAGUGGCGCACGGGUGCGUAACGCGUGGGAAUCUGCCCUUGGGUUCGGAAUAACAGCGGGAAACUGCUGCUAAUACCGGAUGAAGACGAAAGUCCAAAGAUUUAUCGCCUGAGGAUGAGCCCGCGUUGGAUUAGGUAGUUGGUGGGGUAAAGGCCUACCAAGGCGACGAUCCAUAGCUGGUCUGAGAGGAUGAUCAGCCACAUUGGGACUGAGACACGGCCCAAACUCCUACGGGAGGCAGCAGUGGGGAAUAUUGGACAAUGGGCGCAAGCCUGAUCCAGCCAUGCCGCGUGAGUGAUGAAGGCCUUAGGGUUGUAAAGCUCUUUCACCGGUGAAGAUAAUGACGGUAACCGGAGAAGAAGCCCCGGCUAACUUCGUGCCAGCAGCCGCGGUAA